Tachysurus vachellii is the source of this 2844-nucleotide long non-coding RNA. RefSeq lists it as uncharacterized. The record is from RefSeq and is a predicted model, not a curated record. NCBI's taxonomy places the organism in Eukaryota, Metazoa, Chordata, Actinopteri, Siluriformes, Bagridae. The transcript has 4 exons.
UUCUCGUCAGACUGAGGGGAGCCUGGACGACUGUUCUUGCUGCCGUGCCGAGUAAGCAGUCUGUCUGAGGCUGCAGUGCAGCCCGUAAGGGGCUCCUGGCCCCACGCCAUUCAUAUCAGUCUGGAUUAUAUUCAAACAGCAUUGAAUAUUAAACCGCUCACCACGACGUCUUGGUGAAACCCGUUAGAAGGUGUAAUUUUCCGGAGCAUUUUCAUGCACCACGUACAAGGCUGUAUUUCACUAUUUGCAGGUGGAAACUUGGGCUGAAAGCGGACAAGAAAAGCAGAUUUUAACUAGAUCUCCAGUCCUCUGCAGUACAAGAGCCACUCCCGCAGACCGACAAUCAUGCUUCCUGCUGCAGAAUUAAACUGACAGGAGCAAUGGAGGAUCCCCAGAGGGUUAACAUCUGGGCCCCUGUGCAGGCCUGGGCGAUGGGGCGCCACAGCGAAAAUUCAGCUUUCCUUCAGCUGGAUGUAGGAUAGAAGUUGUUUAUUAACAUGGAAUCUUCUUUAAAGAGCCUUCUUGUAUAGUUUCUGUUUUUCCUAAAUUGUGUAUAUUCUCAUUUUUAUGGUAUGUGAUAAAGAUGAAAUAUGACUGUGGGGCCAUUUUCCUCCCCAUCUGUGUGAUUUUUUUAAUACUAUGAUAGAAACGCUCGGGACUCUAAGCCUUGAUAAGUUCACGUUCUUGGGAGGACACAAAGUAGCGGCAAGCACCACAAAGCACCUCGCGACAGAGCUGACAGAUUUGGAGCUGUACAGACCUGCAAGUCUGCAUCGUUUACAACCUCCAAAGGGCCGAGAACAUCUGCAGCAGCAUGUCACCCACUUGUCCACUACCUACAGAAGCAAGAUCCUUUAUUAUAUAUUUUGUUAAUUGUUUUUUUUUCCCCCUCCCCUCAGUGUUGGUACCAUUGUGUUUCUCCACAGACUCUCUGAAACUUCAGUAUUUAAUACGUUCCAAUGUUACAUCUUCAGUCACAUUGCUAGGGAUAAAUACAUCGGGAGGGAGAAAUAAACGAUCAAUAUACCCACAAGCCAAGUCCACACUUUUUCCAGCACACUAAUCUCUGCCAGAUUUCAUCAGUCAGUUUGUCCAUUUGUUUCUUUAUUUUCAGAUCCACUUUAAACUACAGCAACUGAUCUUGUCUUCACACACUAACUACUGAAACUUAUAACACACAUUCAACAGUAUUUACUGAGGCUAAGAGUCCCCAAAUUCCCAUGCAGUUACUAGACGCUUUGUAGUACACAGUAAUUUUAAAAACGUUUUUUUAACUUUGCUUUGAUGAAUUUUUUUGGCUUCUUUUUUCUUUUGUUUUGUUUUUUUUUCUUUUGCUUUGCCGGUAUAUUAAAGUGUAAUCAUGUGCGUUGUGAUAUAGAAGUAGCUGUAGAAACCGCAUUGUUUCCUUGUGGUAAGUGAUUGAGAUGCUGCCACGGAUUUGAGACACUGAUGAAUGGUGCUAUUUUGGACUUUAAUCUGCUCCUUGGUAAGGUAGCUGAGAUGGUUAUUUCAUAUCUCUUCACGUCUGGAGAAGGUGUUUGGUUCUUUGUCGUAUGGUCGUUGUAACUUGGUCUGGAUCGACUUUUUAAUUUUUUUCCUUCUCCCCUUCCCUCCUGCCUCCGCCCCUCCUUCCGUCCUUCCACCCACUGUCGUUUCUGUGCGGCUUUCUCUUUGGACUAAACGAAAAAUAAAUAAAGAAAAUGAUGUGUACAAAGAAAACUAAGACCACAAAAUAUUUUUCUCAGAGGAGUCUCUUUAAAGAGGGUGAUUUAAAAAUAAAUAAUAAAAAAAAUAAAAGGUAAAAAAAUUUAAAAAAAGAACAGCGGGAGCAAUCACAAAACUGCAAUUAUUAAUGUUUAUACCCUUAAGGUCAAGAGCUUAUACGAGGCAUUAGUCGCACUUACUGGCUCUAGAUCAUUUGGCAGUGGCAAAAUAGCAUACCAUCUUGUGAGCAUUUUUUCCUUGAUAGUACUAUGUCAAGGACCUGUCUCCAGGAACGUCUUUAGCACUUAAAGAAUGGAACGUUGGGCAGAGAGUUGGUUUCUUUUGUCUUUUGCUUAAUAUGUCAAUCUGUUCACCCAGAAAAAGGCACCAGCUUUCCUGUAGGACAGUUCCAAAAAAAAUCAUACUUUGUUCCCCCUCCCACAUGAAUUCGUCCAUGGAAAGGUUGGUUUAGGCUUAAAAUCAGCUGCAUAGUCUUUACCAGACAGUAAUUAGAAGAUGCUUCUCGCAGCCAAGACCCUCACAUCUCACAGCACACGACCUGAUCAUGCUCUUUUCCUAAGCUAAAAUGUAGCACUGAUGAAUUAGUGUUCAUCGACGGAUGGUUUUUGUGAACGACUCGUAGGUCACCUUGAGGAUAGAAACCAAAAAGCUUUCUCUUUAUUUUGGGUGAUUCAGUAGCAAGCUGUCGUCCUUCAGUAUUUGCAGUUUUGUCUUUGCUUCCAGUUAAACGUAUACUUUUAAACAAAUCCCAAAUCGACAACCAACUUGAAAGCCCACUUUAGUUUCUUUGUCUUUUCUUUUUUUUUUCCCCCACUACCGUGGGAACCUUCCCAGCUUGCUCUAGAUCUUCCCUAGUGCAUCGGCUGCAUGCUUUCCGCUUUGAUUCGUUUUCAUCUUCGUCUGGACUGUUUGCAUUUUCUCUUUUCAUAGGCUAGGUAUUCUAGCUCCUGUAAAUAGCGUAGAUUAGGUAGGGUCUGAUGUUGAAAUACUAUAAUAACUAUUGGUGUAAAAAGAUACAAAAAAAAAAAAGUCAGCUUGUGAUCAAUAACAAAGCAUUAUGUAUUGUACAAGUAAUUUUGACCAUUUAAGCGGUAAUCCAAUAAACAUGCAAGCUCUCAA